AUUGAACCCAGGAAGUACUGAGAUACACCUGCAGCCCUCCCCCCUUAAUUUACUUUGAGCCAGGGUUUUGCUAAGUGCCCACUCUGGCCUCGAAUUUGCUAUCCUCCUGCUCCAGCCUCUCAAGAAGCUGGGAUUCCAGGCAUACAUGCCUCACGCCUGGCCGCCUUUAGCAUGAUUUCUGUCUUAGCAGUGUAUAUUGUCUGUGCUCUAAUUCGUCAGUUCUGUAAUGGUGGUUGUUCUAGUCCUAGCUCUUGAUUUCACUUUCCAUUUCAGUCUCCUGGCUUGCCAUCUCUUCUGUGAGCUGCAUGUUUUGGUCUCGCAUCUUCUCUAAGUAGUCUCAUAUCACACACACUUAUGGGAGACCCUUCAGUGACGGCACUGGCUUUCUUUAAUACAGGACUGUGACUUUAUGAUGGCAACAGACCUCGGCUGCUCUUGCUGGAGCACAGCAGUGCUUGUCAUGUCCAGAGAGCCUCCCUUCGCAUUUCCUCCUGGAGCAGGGAAGGGACAGAUGUCACCUCCACAGAGCCAUGGCAGUGAGCAAGGGGAAGUGACCGGCCUGGCUGACCUCUUCCAUACUCACCUGCUCCACAGGGAGUAUAAGAAGUUGGUUGUGACACCUGAAUGACAUAAUGGCAAAGUUUAAGCAACCUUCUUGGACCGUGAGUUAAUCUGGAAGACAGAAGAUGCAUUGUGAGGAUAGCAAAGGAAAUUCACUGAGGAAACCUGGCUUCUGACUUCAUGGAGUAGCAGUUUAUGAUCAUUGUGCAGCCUUGAGGAAACUGGUCCCAACAUUUUGUUUUUUAAUUUCUAGGUUUCAAGAAAGUGGUUAAAUCAAAGAAGUAAAAAUGUACAGCAUGUUACAUGUUAAUGAGGCUGGAUUUAGUAAAAUGGGCAGUAAAAAGGUUGAAAAUGGGGUAACAUCACAUAGCGAAAUGCUGAUUACUGAGAAACUGGCUUCCUGUGCUCAUUCAGUAAUGCUCGUUCUUGAUGCUCAGCUUUUGUUGGGAAAGAGAAGCCUUGAAACUCAGUAUAAAAUCUUUACAAGAAUAUUCAGAGCAUGCAUAUGAAACUGUGGCUAGUAUAAGUGAACUUGAUCACUAUAUGAGCAAAAAGUGUACAUUUUAAAAUAUACUUCCACCAAAACAAACUGGGGUUUAGGGAGAAAAUACACAAAAUGAACUGGAGCAUUUUGUGAUAUCAGAUCAUUAGAAAUUACCAGACACUGCCUGAAGCUUGUCAGAGGGAGUUCAGAGCCAUUUGCAAGUAAAUUCUCACUUGCCUAAGAUGGGUUGUCCUGGCUUGUGUUUAGAUGUCUCCCCAAAGCCUCAUUGGGUCAUAGGUGGGGCUUUUCAGAGAUGGCUGGAUCUAGAGUGUGUGACGCUGGGAUUGAUGAGAGCAGUAAUAACUAUUAUUAGCAAUGCUAGGCACAAAGGCACUAGGAUUAAGAGUCGGAGUGCUACCCACCUUAGGUAGCCUCGGUAAGAUAAAAGGGAUAGAAAGAUCUGUGGUGGUCCCUUGUUGCUUUUCCUGUCUGCUGCAUGCCCCUCUGCCUUGGAGCCAGCCAACUGUGACCUGAAACCUCUACAGUAAGCCAAAAAAAACCCUUUCCUCCCUUAACUUUUGCAUGUCAGGUAUUUUGUCUCAGCAGUAAGAGAAAAGUAACUAACAGAAUUUGGUACUAGAGAAUUGAGGUCCUUGCUGUGAGUAUAUCUAACCAUGUGGUUCAGAAACCUUUGGGACUGGCUUUUGGGAAGAGUUGUGAAAGGUUCGGAGACACUUUUUAAAAAGUACAGUUGGAGCACCUUAGGCUGAACUUGAUGGCAGAUUCUGGUCAGAGCUUAGAAUACCAGAAAACUGAUAGAAAUGCCAGUAAAGACCAAGCUCAGGAGGUUUCUGCUGGAAAGAAAGACUGUAUUGACUGUUGGACUCCAGAUGAUGUGUGCUAUGGCUUGGCAGAAAGUUUGUCUGCAUUUUGCUCAUGUCCAGAUACUUUGCCUGAGACUGAGAUUAAGGGUGUUGGACUAAUUAAUCUGGCAGAAGAAAUCUCAAGACAGUCUAAUUUUGAGGUGGUGGCAUGGCAACUGUUGGGGGCUUUUAGCCAGAUUUAUGUUGAGAAUCCAGAGCAAAGAGCCCAGCAGAAUGAUUUAAAAUGUUUUGAGUUUGGCCAGAAAAGAAGCUCUGAGUGAAGUUUUAGCCUGCAGAAAUGGAGCAGAAAUCUUGUUGCUGAGAAAGGAACAGGAGAAUAGAAAAGAUGGCCUGAGAUCUUCACAAGGAGCAGCAGGACUCCACCCCUUUGCAGCCUCAAAAUUGCAAAAGUGAAAGACUGCCUUGAAAAGACAGCCCCAGAACACUAUGUUCCAUAGUGGCAUCGGCCUAGAGAAUUUGUUCCUUUGAAUUGGGUUCAGAGUGCUCAGUGAUCCAGGCACACCACCCCUACAGCCAAGAGAGACAGAAGUCUGGCUACUGCUCCAACUGGCAGUAGACUACUGGCAUCAUCCAUAACGUGCUAGUUUUAGGAACAUGCGGAAUGCCGGAGUUGUGGGGACAAGAAGGCUUCCACUCAGAUUUCAGAAGAAGGCCUGGAAGGCCAGGCAGUGUGCCUCUGAGAGUGCAGCUGUGAGUGUGAAGUCAGAGGUGUAGUGGAGACCCCAGAAGUUUGGAGAAUCCAGGAAUAUGGAUGAUCUCUGGAAAACUGCAAAGAGGGAGCAGAGCCGGCCAAUGAGAGAAGCCAUGGGAGCUACAACCACAAGGAGUGCUAUAGAGGCGGAGCCACCCAAGCCCUUUGAAGUUCACACCUUGCCCCAGAUUGCCAUGGAUGCUGGAAGUGGAACUAUGGGAUUUGUUUGCCCUGCUGAUUUUGGACUUGCUUUGGUCCCAUUCCUUUGUAUCCCCCGUUUGUAACUUUUGGAAUAGAAAUGUCUGUCUUGUGCCAUUGAAUGUUGGCAGUGUCUAACUUCCUUUUCAUGUGUUCAGGGUCUGUCUUGUAGCUAAGAGUUUGCCUUCAAUCUCAGAAGAGACCUUGGACUUGGUCUUUUCAGCAGUGCUGAAACUGUUAGGACUUUGGCAACUCUUAGAGAUGGACUAAAUGCCUUUUGAAUAAAGAGAUGUAACGUGAGUCUUUGGGGGCCAGGGGCAGAAUAUUAUGGCCUGUGUUUAGAUGUCCCCCAAAGCCUCACGGGGUCAUAGGUUGGGCUUUUCAGAGGUGGCUGAAUCUGGAGUGUGUCAUGCUGGGAUUGAUUCAUGGAGCAAUGCUAGGCUCCGGGGCACUAGGAUUAAGAGUGUGAGUUCCACCUGCCUUAGGUAGCCUCGAUAAGCUGUAAGGGAUAGAAAGAUCUGUGGUGGUCCCUUGUUGUUUUUCCUGUCUGGUGCAUGCUACUCUGCCUUGGAGACAACUGUGGACUGAAAUGUCUACGAACUGUAAGCCAAAUAAACCUUUCGUCCCAUUUAGAGUGUUUUCAUGUUACUUUGUGACUUCAGAUUGUUGUUCAGGCUAUUUCCUUGAAUGCCAAAGAGAAUUUGUUUUGGUGAACUGUUUUAGGAUAAUUACAGUUCUGUUCACCUUUC
Molecule: long non-coding RNA, 3567 nt
Organism: Heterocephalus glaber (naked mole-rat)
Lineage: Eukaryota; Metazoa; Chordata; Mammalia; Rodentia; Bathyergidae
Source: Ensembl